RNAcentral lists this ribosomal RNA (150 nucleotides) under Olea europaea subsp. europaea. Its description in RNAcentral is "Eukaryotic small subunit ribosomal RNA". It matches the Rfam family "Eukaryotic small subunit ribosomal RNA", at positions 1186 to 1473 of the family's 1831-position model. Lineage: Eukaryota; Viridiplantae; Streptophyta; Magnoliopsida; Lamiales; Oleaceae. The record is from Rfam by way of RNAcentral.
CGGCUUAAUUUGACUCAACAUGGGGUAACUUACCAGGUCCAGACAUAGUAAGGAUUGACAGACUGAGAGCUCUUUCUAUUUUUUUUGUAUCGGUAAAUGAAAAUAUAUUGAUAAAAAAUGUACCAUGUACAAGUACACCGGGCAUACCCG